CUGGCACUGGGAGAAGACGAAGGGGAGGCCCGAGGCGGUCUGCGGCGGGCGAGCCACUGCAGCGCGGAGGCGGCCGGGGAGGUGGAGAAGGUGAGGAGGAAGGAGGCGGUGUCGGGGGGCAGGGUGAGCGUGAGCGCUGUGCCCAGGGAGAAGGGGAUGGGGGCGGGGGAGUCGGGGGAGGCGGUGGCGGCGGAGUGGACGGCGAGGGCGCGCGUGUCGAGGAGCAGGUCCCCGGUGUGCGGCGCGGAGAGGGUGACGAGCGCGGAGGCGUGGAUGGUGGAGGCGGCGAAGUCGAGGUAG
This 300-nucleotide ribosomal RNA is filed under the name Triticum aestivum (bread wheat). RNAcentral's name for it is "partial small subunit ribosomal RNA". Lineage: Eukaryota; Viridiplantae; Streptophyta; Magnoliopsida; Poales; Poaceae. The record is from RNAcentral.